This 490-nucleotide ribosomal RNA is filed under the name uncultured bacterium. RNAcentral describes it as "partial 16S ribosomal RNA". It matches the Rfam family "Bacterial small subunit ribosomal RNA", at positions 30 to 507 of the family's 1533-position model. The record is from RNAcentral.
AUUGAACGCUGGCGGCAGGCCUAACACAUGCAAGUCGAACGGUAACAGGAAGAAGCUUGCUUCUUUGCUGACGAGUGGCGGACGGGUGAGUAAUGUCUGGGAAAUUGCCUGAUGGAGGGGGAUAACUACUGGAAACGGUAGCUAAUACCGCAUAACGUCGCAAGACCAAAGAGGGGGACCUUCGGGCCUCUUGCCAUCGGAUGUGCCCAGAUGGGAUUAGCUAGUAGGUGGGGUAACGGCUCACCUAGGCGACGAUCCCUAGCUGGUCUGAGAGGAUGACCAGCCACACUGGAACUGAGACACGGUCCAGACUCCUACGGGAGGCAGCAGUGGGGAAUAUUGCACAAUGGGCGCAAGCCUGAUGCAGCCAUGCCGCGUGUAUGAAGAAGGCCUUCGGGUUGUAAAGUACUUUCAGCGGGGAGGAAGGGAGUAAAGUUAAUACCUUUGCUCAUUGACGUUACCCGCAGAAGAAGCACCGGCUAACUCCGUG